Molecule: small nucleolar RNA, 192 nt
Organism: Clarias gariepinus (North African catfish)
Lineage: Eukaryota; Metazoa; Chordata; Actinopteri; Siluriformes; Clariidae
Product: small nucleolar RNA SNORA81
Exons: 1
Source: RefSeq, a predicted model, not a curated record
ACCUUCUUUUCCAAAAGCGCCAUGCCAAAAUCGGCAGGUCUGAGCCUUUUGGUUUAGCCCUGCCGAUCAUGCUAGUAUGGUACGUCUCAAAGAAGGAAGAGCAACAAAAAAACGCAGCAUCGGAAACGAGUCCGGGAGGGACCUCUUUCUUAAUGUCCCGUGUCCUGCGUCUCAAGAUUCUGCGCUACACUU